CACAUAUGAUGCUCCUUUAGAUAUAAAUACAGAACGUUAAGGCACAUUGGAGAAAGGAAAAACAUUACCUGAUACCUUUGUGACUUACAGUCUACAGAACUCAAGCCAACAGAACCAUGUCUGGAGUCAAGGGACAGAAGAAAUGCCCAGACCCAUGCCCAGAGCCUUGCCCACCACCAUGCCCUCCACCACAGCAAUGCCAGGAUCGUAAGUAACAUUUUUAUUUGUAAUCUGAAACAUAAUUUUACAUUUAGAAAGUUAUAAGGUCAUAUUCUUAUAAUUAUGUUUAUUUUUGUUUUCUGUUAUAGCCUGUGACCCAUGCCCUAAGCCAGUUCCACAAUGCCAAGGUAUGUAAAGUUGUGCUCCCAUUCAAUAUUUCAGUUAUAUCGUUACUGUAAGGGUAUAUCAUGUAUUCUCAACACACAAAAGAAAAACGGAAAUGCUUUAAUGGUUGAUACAACUAGAUGUCUGUUCGUCCUCCGACUGUAAAGCGCCGCGGAAUUUGUUGGCUCUAUUUAAAUAAUAACAUAAUAAUAAUAAUAAUAAUAAUAAUAAAAAUAAAGUUAUGUUGAAGAGUGACAAAGUUAUGGAUAGUAUGAAGAUCCUAACAGCAAGAACACAGAGGACAAAAACAUUAUCUAAAUAACAAAUAUACUCUUAAUAUGAAGAAGAAACAAUAAUGAUUAAAGUCUUUACCGCAAGGCAAUGGACAGAUUAGAUGGGCCAAUAAGUUUUUUUACGCUGCUAAUUUUUUAAAAAAAAUUUAAAAGUGUGUAUUCACUAAGAUACAAAUUGUUUACAAUUACCCAACUGAUGAUAAUAGUUUCCUAGUUUGGGUUUCCACUGUUGUAAGCCUGGUUACAAUACAAAGGUAAGAGUUUGUAAUGAUGAUGUUAUCAGUACAAUAGAUUCUGUUAUCGUCCCCAGUAAUAGGUUUUAAUUAACAAACGUUAUGUUUUCAGGAGAAAAAAUGUUUGGUGAAUACAUGUUUUUUUUCUUUUAUCUGUAAAAGAAUCUAAAUUUUAAAAUACUUUUUGGAACAUCCAAUGUCUGUAAAGACAAAACAGUUUGUUUCGUGUUUUGUCCUAAUUUUUAUUCAGGCGCUAAAAUCACCUAACUGCGCCCUUAAUAAGAAUUCUUAUUUUUUGUAUGUUUGCUGGAAAAAAAAACCUGUAUGUUCACCUGUUUUACACAUAUUAUAUAGGGAGAUUUGAAGAUCUCGUAACUUUAGAAUGGUUAAUCACUUAAUCAUACUUCUUAUCCUUUCAAUUACAUUGUGAAAAUUUUACAAGGCAUUGAGUAGAGAUAAUUAGAAAUAUGACUAACCCAUGAUAAACAUUUUUUAUUUUGUCUCACCAUAAUGUGUCCAUUUUCUCUCUAGAUCCCUGUAAACCGGCUCCACAGCAGUGUCAGCAGGAUGUGAAAUGUGUGAAGAAGUGUUAAUAAGAAGGAACCGUGUUAUGGAGAAAAUGUCCAUUGCUUGGACAUUACUCUGAUCAUCUAAAUAAUUUUAACUUAAUUGUGCUGUAUGUGAUUUCUAUGUGAAAGCUUGUAUCUUGUCGUAAAGAUGAAUUUUACAAUUUGUCACUGAACCAAUAAAUCUGAAUUAAAAUGGAAUCUGAAUCAAACUGAA
This 1633-nucleotide long non-coding RNA is filed under the name Pelobates cultripes (western spadefoot toad). Lineage: Eukaryota; Metazoa; Chordata; Amphibia; Anura; Pelobatidae. The record is from RNAcentral.